Molecule: ribosomal RNA, 484 nt
Filed under: uncultured bacterium
Lineage: Bacteria
Description: partial 16S ribosomal RNA
Rfam family: Bacterial small subunit ribosomal RNA
Source: RNAcentral
AUUGAACGCUGGCGGCAGGCCUAACACAUGCAAGUCGAGCGGAUGAAGGGAGCUUUCUCCUGGAUUCAGCUGCGGACGGGUGGGUAAUGCCUAGGAAUCUGCCUUGUAUUGGGGGAUAACGUCAGGAAACGGGCGCUAAUACCGCAUACGUCCUGAUGUAGAAAGGGGUGGAUCUUCGGACCUCACGCUAUCAGAUGAGCCUAGGUCGGAUUAGCUAGUUGGUGGGGUAAAGGCCUACCAAGGCGACGAUCCGUAACUGGCCUGAGAGGAUGAUCAGUCACACUGGAACUGAGACACGGUCCAGACUCCUACGGGAGGCAGCAGUGGGGAAUAUUGGACAAUGGGCGAAAGCCUGAUCCAGCCACGCCGCGUGUGUGAAGAAGGUCUUCGGAUCGUAAAGCACUUUAAGUUGGGAGGAAGAGAAGUAAGUUAAUCCAUUGCUGUCUUGACGGUACCAACAGAAUAAGCAACGGCUAACUUCGUG